This 814-nucleotide long non-coding RNA is filed under the name Anser brachyrhynchus (Pink-footed goose). Its description in RNAcentral is "lncRNA (ENSABRG00000016059.1)". The record is from RNAcentral. Lineage: Eukaryota; Metazoa; Chordata; Aves; Anseriformes; Anatidae.
GGGAGUCUUGCGCUCGUUUGGUGUGUUAGUUAUAACCUCCCUUUUAUAAAAUUCAGUCAUCAACUGUGAUUCAUGAAUUAACUUUCAGUCAUAAUCAGAGCUGUAUGUCACUUUUGUAACUUCUGAAAAUGUUGAUCAACUCAUGUUGUGUUCCUCCUUCCUGACAGCAAAAUCAAAACAUGAGUUUUUUCAUUAAGUUCUCUUAUCAAAGACUCAUUUCUUUUACUUUCUCUGAAUCUGGACACAUUGAUGCAUUUCUGCAUGACAUGACUCUUUUGGAAUGUUCACUGAAUUCAUGAAUCAUUUCACAGAAUACUAUUUUUGGAUGAAGGUCUGGAACAGAUAUUAUGCAAACCCUGCAACUCUACUGGUGCACGCUGCCUUGCAGGGAAUGAAGUUACGCCAUCAAAAUAUUCAGACAAAUAUUGACAACUAGCUGUGCAAACUGAGCGUUUCCUCUGUGAACUCACAGUACCUCUCUCUUCUAGGUACACGUAUGGUUUCCUGCUGAGGAAAACAUCAUAGAAAGAAGACCCCUUAUCCAGUAUGUGUUGUGAUAGGAAUUACACAGGUUUAGUGUUACUGCUCACUUCACCAAAAUAGCAAUUCAUCAAAGUGACUGGAAACAACAGGUUUCACAGCCACUUCAAGUUGGUGGGGAAUGACAGGUUGUAUCUCAGAUGCUUUAAUCUGAAUUUAGUGCAUAUGAGAAAUCUUGAGAUUCUUAUAUGAAGGUCCUGAAAGAGUUCUUCCUGCAGUGAAAUUUGGCUAUUAGAGUAUGCAAAAAGAUAUAAUGAAGAUAAAAAUGUAACAG